CUGCAGAUCAAAGAAAACGUUAAAAACCUUACACGCCCUCCCACCCUUCUUUCCCUUUCCUUUGCCUCUUCUUCUUCGUUCCCUGUGUAUCAUCUCUUCUCCAUCUUUUCUUUUCCAUUUCGAGCUAGGGUUCAAAAAAACCCAAAAACAACCCUUCUGUAUCUCAGUUUCUCUCUGAAAUACAUACCCCAUCUUUGCUUAAAACUGCAAUUGCUAAAGUUUUUGUUUCAAAAUUCAAAUGGAUUUCAAACACCCGCCUCUAAAUUCCCUCUUCAUUCAAAUGCCAAAAACCCUAAUCAGAUUUCAAAAUAUUUCUCUUUCAUGGUUCUCUUUCUCGCUCUCGAAUGGCUUCUGGUUGUCGAAUCGACUUUCCGGCAAAGUUGGCUAGGGUUCAGGCCGAAUUCCGCUCACACAGGUAAGUCCGGUGCCAAAGAUUUCAUGUUUGGAUGCAUCAAUUUCAUUUUUAUCAGUGGCAUGCGACCCUCUCUAUGUUGAACAAAUGUCAGCAUCAUCUUGCUUCCACUCCACUGAAGAGGUAUGUGGUUAUGCACUCGUGGUCACUCUAGUCACUCGAUGGUUUUGUGGAGGAUGUGCUUGAUCUAUUGAUUUUGUUUGUGAGUUUUUGUAUUUUGGUACUUAGAAUCUGUAUGCACGCCAGGUGUUUGUUAAAAUAUUUUUUUUAUCAACAGUAACUUUGUGGUUAAUAUUGUACUAAUUAUCAAAAUUGUACUAAUUAUCAAUAUUUGAAUGUUAAAAGAUGAUGAUUUGAUGCAGGGGUGUUGAUGUAGCUGUUAAAUGACAACCGAAACGACCUCAUCCACCUAUUUUGAAUUGUAAAAAAUGUGGUUUUGGAAGAUUAUUUCAAACUUCUAGAGUAAAUGAUAAAAGUCAGAUUGCAAGUCUUUGUGUAUUAUUUGAUUUCUUUUUUGUUAAAGUCACUUUUUUAAAAUCAGAGCAUGCAUAUAUAAGGCUUUGUCAUAAAUCUUACAAUUUACACUCUCUAAUGGUCUAUUUCUUUACACAUAUUGUUAGUUUGGUUGACUAGACAUAUAAGAUUGUUAAUUCUUUUGCCUAUGAAAAGUUUUUAAAAAAAUUCAGGUUUACCAUCUUUUAUAAAUAUUUCCAAGCUUUAACCAAGCACACAUCUUUACAUAAGUGAAUUUGGCCUUUCGGCUCUCAAUCAACCCUCUUAAUAUAUACCAUGUUUACCAAUACUUAUACCUGAACUUUUACAAAAGAUGGUCUUUAUAGUGGGGAUAAUGUUCAAUAUUUAAUGGGCAAGAUGCAAGUUGAAUGUAGUAUAGAAUGUAUCAAAUUCCAAGUUUAUGUCUAAAUCGUUUUAUAAAAAAAAGUUUCAUUUUUAUUGUUGUAACAUAGUCUUCUCAAGUUUUUAAAACAAAAAAUUGUGAUUAAACCCAUCCCGACCCGUUUGACCUCUUACCUGUUACUUGAAGUUGAAGAUUUGGACUUUGUUCACGCGUUUUAUUGUGUUGUUGCAACGUUUACACCCCUCGGGUACAUACAUACAUGUUUUUCAACAACUGGCAGCCGUGUGUUUGCUGUGUUUUGGAUCUUAUUGGGUACGGUUUAUGUAGCGCAGUUGCUGUUCACUUUCGCUUUGCUGUACACCGAAUGAAAGCAAAGAUCGUUGGUUAAAUGGGUUCUUAAAAGAAAUACAAUGACUUCUGACCUCGAGGCAGCUGAUUUUGAUGGCGAUGGAGUCGUCGUGUUAGUAGAAAAUAUAUAAAAUAUUAUAUAACAAGAAUUUAAUAACUUAAUAAGCUUCUGGCAUGAUGUUUUGGUAUUCAACAGGGCUGCAGAGUAUGUUUUGUACAAGUUAAAAGAGAUGGGAAAGAUCAGCCAAGACGACAUCACACCGAUUAAGGCAAUUUAAUGAAACUUAAGUUCAGAUGCUGCUGGUGAAGCCGGUGAGUGUGGUAGUUUGGGAGGUAGAAACUGUGAUAUCAAAACAUCCUUCGUGAUCGGAGUCAUUGGACUUCCAGACAACGGCUUCAUAUAAAUGUAAUGACUUUUAUAGUGUAAAGCAGCAUUACUUGAUCUUUGCACCAGUUCAAUACAAGACGUUGUUGUGGUUAGCAAGAUGGUACAUGAAAGUUAUUUUAUUUUUAUUAAUGAUAAUUGUUCUUGCUACAAAAAGACAAGUAUGAUGGUUUAAAAAGUCCACUAUACAUCUUUUAAGAUGAAUAUGUAUCUUUUUUAAGCUACAAUCUUUGUCAUAACUUUAUUGUCUAUGAGAUAGUUCUUAUUUCAAUGUAUAAAGUUGUGUUUGAACUUGAUUAUUAAAUGCUUUAGACUAUUGUAAUGGAUCUUUAAGGUGUAGGCAAUUAAUGAAUCUUUAAGGUGUUUGCUAUUUUGGUUUAUUUUAGAAAUCACUAGAGGUUUUAAUUUGUUCCUUUGCAUGGAUGGAUUAAAAUUUGAUAAGUAUUUAUUUUUACUGCGUAUAUAAUGAUUUGCUUAAAGGGCUGAGUUAUUGGAUCAUGGAUCAGCCCAAGAGUUGCCCAAAAUAUGGACAUACAUAUAAGGUUUGCUUAUUGUGUUGGUUGAUUGAUCACAUUUUUUGGUUAGUUGAAUUAUAUAAAUGGACCGGGAUCAGAUCAUGCAGCAGCCUUUUUACAGUCCUAACCCAACAUGACCCUGGUUGUUCAAACCAUUCUAAAAUGACUUAUUUCAAUAUGAACCGGUUUUGACUCCUUAGCUAAACUGCAGGACCCUCCCCCAUCUUGCUUGCUGACAUGUCAAUAAGUAAACCUGCAGAUAUACGUGUAUCUUACACUUAUUUUCAAGACAAAGCGUCAGUCUAUGAAAGAUACCAUUUUCGUUUGAUUUUCAAUGUUAGUGAUUUUCACCGCAUUCAUGACGUUUUGUUUCUCUAAAAUUCAUUUAAAUCUGAAGAUAUCUGGGUCAGUUGGACAUAUUGUUAGGAUCAUGGCAUUGACAUCUUACACCAAUUCUCAAGUAGAUAUGAUGACACAGUAUGGCGCUAUUAUUCUUUGCUCUUAUUGUUUACAUUAACAUCUUUAAUCAUUAAAUAUACAUGCCAUUAGGAUUGAGAUUGUUGGUGUAUGCACACCGAGUGAUUGACAAAUAAGGGCGGCGGAUAAACAGGAGCGACGACAAAGGUUGUAACUCAGUUAUGCCUUUUCGGUUUCAUAUCCGAUAUACGACAAUCGAUGAACAUACCACUGAACAAAUCAAGCGAAUUCAAGAAGAAAGGUGUGGCUUUGGUGUUGAGAUUAAUAGAUGUGCUUUUGUGUUACUAUCUUCGCAUUGAGAGGAGAGCUCUGCCGUUUCGGUGGCCGGAAAAUUUAUCCAGGAAGUAGUAUUCGAUUCAUCCGAAUGGACUACUGAUAUGAUGCAUUUUUGUUUGUAAUAUAUUUUUUUUACCUAAUAUAUUAAAUAAACAUUAAUAAUGUUUUCACUCUACGUAUUUAUAUUUUUUAUAAUAUUUUGAAAAUUCAAGAUACCAA
Helianthus annuus (common sunflower) is the source of this 3488-nucleotide long non-coding RNA. RefSeq lists it as uncharacterized. Lineage: Eukaryota; Viridiplantae; Streptophyta; Magnoliopsida; Asterales; Asteraceae. The transcript has 5 exons. The record is from RefSeq and is a predicted model, not a curated record.